Molecule: ribosomal RNA, 253 nt
Filed under: uncultured bacterium
Lineage: Bacteria
Description: partial 16S ribosomal RNA
Rfam family: Bacterial small subunit ribosomal RNA
Source: RNAcentral
UACGUAGGAGGCGAGCGUUGUCCGGAGUUACUGGGCGUAAAGCGUGCGCAGGCGGUUUUGUAAGCCAGAUGUGAAAUCCCCGGGCUUAACCUGGGAAUGGCAUUUGGGACUGCAAGGCUCGAGUGCGGCAGAGGAGACUGGAAUUCCUGGUGUAGCAGUGAAAUGCGUAGAUAUCAGGAGGAACAUCGAUGGCGAAGGCAGGUCUCUGGGCUGACACUGACGCUCAUGCACGAAAGCGUGGGGAGCAAACAGG